UGUAUUUGUGUACAAAAUGACAUUUAAACAUUUUCCUAUUAUGUCACCUUAGGCCGGUGACACACUGGAUGCGUGGCGCAAGCGUCUCAGCCGCGUGGCGUGUCGGUUUUUAAUUCGGCUCCCAUGUUAACAGGUUAGAGCUUACAGACUGCCUGCGUGAGUCGCGCGUCUCAGGCGCGGUUCGAGCCGCGCGGCAAACGCUUGCUUGCUAGAAAUAGAACCGACGCCUAUUUUUAUCGCGACACGCGCGCGUGUUGGAAGCUUUUCAAGUCUAAAUAUAAUAGGAAAAUGUGUUUAAAUGUCAUUUUGUACACAAAUACAUAUGAAUUCCUGAUAUUUUGAUAUUUGAAAGUCUAUAGGUUGACAUAAAUUCAGAUAUAAAUGUAAUAAAAAAAAUAAUAAUAAUAAUUAUCGAUUUUCAAAUAUUGCACCUGUCAAACAUAAUCUAUUUCGCCGUCAAAACGGUGUCCUUUAUCAGUAGGCGUAGGUGUAGGUGUGUAGAAAAAAGUAUAUAUUGUUGUCAUGAAGACAUGAGCCUGGUCUGUCAACGGUCUCCCUCUACAGCAGCAGCGCGCCAGCGCCGCGUCAGGCACGCUUCUGGUGUGUAAAGACACAGAAUCCGCCACGCUUCUGGGACGCUUCUGGGACGCUUCAGACACGCGGCGCUCACGCCACGCAGCCAGUGUGUCACCGGCCUUACCCCAUUAUGCUUUGCGCGUACGCGUAUGUAGGAUGCUUCGAACUUCCGGUUCGCAACUAGAUGCGUUUAAUUAGCCGUUACAGAGUUUUUGGAAUGCUCUGAAACCUCAGUUGUAAUCGGUUUUACUUACUUUUAACGUCCAUAAUGCAGACAUCCCAAGUCUCCCGGAAGUUCCGGGAGUCUCCCGCAUAUUGAAAGCGGCUCCCUGAGACCCGCAAAUUAGUUAAAAUAUCCCGGAAUCUAGACCGAGCGAGCAAAAGCGCGCAUGCGAAACAGAUACUGUUUCAAACCGUGUAGCGCGCGCACGGCAGAGAGGGAGAGGGAGCGAGAGACCUUGCGUGUGUGUGCUAAUGUGCUUGUAUGAAGCCCAUUUAAGACAGAGAGCAUCCCGAUUGGCCUUUUUCUGCAAAUCAACCAAUCAAUUGUCAGUGUGGGCGGGCUUUUAUCUCUUCUCCCGAACAAAAUUAAUCAGUCAUGUCUAUCUAGAAACAGGAGCACCAUGGCAGAAGGAGAGUGUCACAAAAAAAAAAAAAAAGUACACGAAAGUGUACCCCUGUCUUAUAGGUGAAAAACAUAAUGACAACGAAUAAUUACAUAGGCCUAUAGCUUAUAGAAAUAAUAAUUUAUGCUAUAUCUUUUAGGGACCACAACAUGUUAGGGAGGCUAAGCGCAGGGAAGGCUGCUCCAAUAUAUCUCAGUUCUCCCAUUCAGAUAGGCAAAGUCUCAUUGAGAAGGUGACUACAGGGUCUUCGGGAUACCUCCCUGAAAUGACUUUUUGCAGGUUGGGAUGUCUGCAUAAUGUCAACAAGCAACGGCAACAUUAGUUCGCAGCAGUGCCGGCUACAGACAAUUUUGAUUGGGGGGGCAAUGGGUGGUCCUGGUCAUUUAAAGGGGGGUCUCAUGAACACCUACAAAAAAUACAGUUGACACAGCUAAUAACUAUAUAAAAAUACAGUUGACACGGCUUAAUAUUACUGCUACUAAACAAAAACAACACAGCAUAUCAACUACUUUGUUUUUAAUUAAUCAAUUGCAGUUUGCAAACAAUAUGCUCAAACUUUAAAGGGUUGGUUCACCCAAAAAUGUAAAUUAUUUAAUUAAUAACUUACUCUCAUGUCGUUCCAAACCCUUGAGACCUCCUUUUAUCUUCGGAACACAGUUUAAGAUAUUUUAGAUUUAGUCCCAGUUCUAAGUCUCCCUCCAUUGAAACUGUGUGUACGGUCUACUGUCCAUAUCCAGAAAGGUAAGAAAAACAUCAUCAAAGUAGUCCCUUUAAAUGGUUUGCGUCUCCAAUACGCAUUAAUCCACAAAUGACUUAAGUGGUUAACUUUUUUAACGUGGCUGACACUCCCUCUGAACUGGGCCGUGCAGAGACCUUUGGAGGGGCAGGUGCUCAAAGUAUAAAAGGGGCACAUGGAACAAGGCUUUAAAUGGUGCUGUUCAAAAUAUCAAUACAGCAAUAUACUGUGAUGCAUUCAUUGUCGAUUCACGUGUCGAUAUGGAUGAUUAUGUAUUGAAACGGCAGCAAAUGCUUUGAUGCAGUUUUGAAAAAGAAACAAUAGAGAAGACAAUUUUAAGUUUAAUAUAAUAAUAGCUCUGGGAUUAGAAACUGAAAUUGUCCCAACCUGAUGGCUUUUUCUUCUCUGUUCUACAGAAUAAUUUAGAAUAGCGGUUAUAGUAAAAACUAUAGAAAACACCUGUGCCUCUACAUUUUCCUCUUUCUCACCAGCCUCUGUCUCCUGGCUUGCUGUUCCCUGCUCUCUUUCUGUCACUUGUGCCUCUACAUUUCCCUCUUUUUCUUCCUCUAUCUCCAUUUCCUCAUUUGAUCUAUUACUUUCCACUCUCUGUCCAUCUAGGAACAAGGGUCAAUUUACUAUUUCAGCAUUAAUCUAUUAUUUUAACCAUCACUACUACUCUCGCACCUAAUCAGUAAGUCCACCUAAAUAUUGAUACAAAACAUUAAAAAACUGAUACACUGGAAUAUAGGGAUUAAUAUUAUUACUGUUGUAGUUGUUGUUGUCUAAAAUUGAACACCUUUGCAAUGUAAACAAAUGACAGUCUACAUUUGUUAUUCAUCUCCUUCACACUGCACUUUGAUGUCAGGUAUAUUAUGCAUUUUUUAUUGACAUUGAUAAUUUUACAUUUAUUUCCAGAGAGAUAUUAUUGAGUUUACAGGCUACAGUGGUCUUGCUGUAAAUACUGUUGCUAUUGUAGAAAAAAAUAUUUGCGUCACAUUUAAAAUAUAAUUAUAUUUUAAUUCAUUUCUGAAUUGUUUUUAUUUUUAUAAUGAUAAUUCAGAGAAUGAGAAAAUCUGAAUAAGCCUAACCAGUGUUGUGAUAAUUAUUUUUAAGGCAAAAUAAAUAAGUACUGUAAUAUAAUAAAAGUUUAGUCAAAUAACAUAAAAAAGACCAGACCCUUCGAUGCCUGUGAAACUUUUCUCCCUCAAACAGCACGCUACUUCUACACUACAGGCUACACACAGCAAUAUAAACAACAUAUCUGCAUGUUCUCACAUCACAUCGUUCUUGUAAAAUAAUAAUAAGUAAAUAAACAUCAAAAUCACUUCGCUGAGAAUGAAACACCACUUACCAGCAGCCACGGUAUUGAAAAUAUCCUCUGGCAAUUAAAAAAUGCGCGUGCGGUGUGAGGAAUCGUCCCGGUCGGAUGAGGUCGUCGUCGUUGUCGUCAGGUGAAAGGUCAUCAUGUUGGUCAUUUUAUUUACGACUAAAUUAUUAUUAAUACAUUUUACUAAUAUUAUGAUUGGGCGUGGGCAGGCAUUCACAAAAGGGAACGUUAUUACAAAAAAAAAAAAAAUUCGAGAAAAUUUAGCUUUGACAAAAGGGCACUUAAGGGGCAAAGGAGCAGGUGCUCAAGUGAACCGGUUGUUUCCGACAAUUCAAUCAAAUAAACCGGUUAAAAAAAAUUAAAUACGGUUCACCGCUUCUUUUGCGGUCGAUGUAAUGUCAUUGGCGAUGACUGCCCUUCAUACAAGCCUUCAGUUUACCCGCGCUUAUAACAUUAGAACAGAAUACGUCCAGAAUCAAUCAUCAAAAGAAUCAGUUUGUGGAAGUGUGAACUGACUAUAAUGGCCCAUGUGUGGCCCUUGUCUGGAAUCUAGACCUGAUCCACACUAGGACCAUCAAUCAUUGCUGUAUGUGGGUCAAGUUGUGUGGGCCGGAGCUGGGCCAGAGAAAAAUUGGAUCAGGCUGAGGUGUGACUCAGUUUAUGGCUUUCUGGUUAAAGACCGGUGUUGAUAUGGUUUACUUAAGGUUAUGUUUUGGUUCCAGUAUUACAUUUUGAUCUGGCCCAAUUCAGGGCAAGUUACGGGUAAUUAACUUGGCUGAGACUUGGGCCAGCCUGGUCCACACUAGGACCAUCAUUCAUUGCGGUAUGUGGGCCAAGCAAAAGCUGGUUGUGUGGGCUGGAACUGGGCCAGAGAAAUUUCCCUAUGUAUGCAGAAGCCAAACUUCAAUUCAUUCUCCUCAUCAAAUGUAAACCAUCAUCAUGGUGACCAUAGUGGUUUUCGGGAAAACUCCAUCUACAUAUGGUGCGAAGAAUUACAGUCAUGAUUGCACGAUACCAUUCACAGGAGAGUCAGUAGUCACCUUACCCGACUAAUAACCUUCACCCAGUUUAUGGAUUGCAAACCUUUCCGAUUGGACCUACUCUGGGACAACAAUAUGCCCCCAGCAUCCACAUAAGAUCUGCGGGUCGGUUAGGACCAACACAGACCACAGGGUGAGCACCCCCUGCAAGCCUCACUAUCACCUCUUCCAGCAGAAACCUAGUUUUCCAGGAGGUCUCCCAUCCAGGUACAGACCAAGCUCAAUCCUGCUUAGCUUCAGUGGGCAACCGGUCUUGGACUGCAGGGUGAUAUGGCUGCAUACGCACACAUAGAACCUUUACAUCACACAUAAGCUUAUUUAUUGCAGAGGAAGGUGUUCUCUAAAUAUUCACUUCUGUGGCAUUGCUAAGAAAAAACACUUUUGUAACCUUUAUUUUUAAGAAUGUAUUAACUUACAUCGCUCCAAAUUCAGAUUAGCUAAUUCCAUUUCAUAAAAACUAAUAUAAUAUAAAACAUUUUUUUAAAUUUUUUUGUGUUUUAUAUUUAGAGCCAAUCACAAACAAACCCUGAUUGUAUUGGGUAAUGUUUAAAUGUACAUAUUUAACAAAUUUCAACAGCUGUUUUUCUUCUUCUUCUCUUCCUCUUUCGCUUUCGUUUUU
This is a long non-coding RNA of Carassius gibelio (silver crucian carp), 4924 nucleotides long. RefSeq lists it as uncharacterized. NCBI's taxonomy places the organism in Eukaryota, Metazoa, Chordata, Actinopteri, Cypriniformes, Cyprinidae. The transcript has 3 exons. The record is from RefSeq and is a predicted model, not a curated record.